GACGAACGCUGGCGGCGUGCUUAACACAUGCAAGUCGAACGGAAAGGCCCUGCUUUUGUGGGGUGCUCGAGUGGCGAACGGGUGAGUAACACGUGAGUAACCUGCCCUUGACUUUGGGAUAACUUCAGGAAACUGGGGCUAAUACCGGAUAGGAGCUCCUGCUGCAUGGUGGGGGUUGGAAAGUUUCGGCGGUUGGGGAUGGACUCGCGGCUUAUCAGCUUGUUGGUGGGGUAGUGGCUUACCAAGGCUUUGACGGGUAGCCGGCCUGAGAGGGUGACCGGGCACAUUGGUACUGAGAGACGGACCAGACGGCAACGGGAGGCAGCAGUGGGGAGUAUGGCACAAUGGGCGGAAGCCUGAGGCGGCAAUGCUGCGUGCGGGAUGCCGGCCUUCGGGUGGUAAACCGCUUUCGCCUGAGACGAAGCGUGAGUGACGGUAAUGGGUAAAGAAGCACCGGCUAACUACGUG
RNAcentral lists this ribosomal RNA (468 nucleotides) under uncultured bacterium. RNAcentral describes it as "partial 16S ribosomal RNA". It matches the Rfam family "Bacterial small subunit ribosomal RNA", at positions 28 to 507 of the family's 1533-position model. The record is from RNAcentral.